AGGGUUGUGGCUCAGUCAUAGAGCGCUUGCCUAGCAUGCAUGAGGCACUGGGUUCGAUCCCUGGCACCACAU
Molecule: transfer RNA, 72 nt
Filed under: Urocitellus parryii (Arctic ground squirrel)
Lineage: Eukaryota; Metazoa; Chordata; Mammalia; Rodentia; Sciuridae
Also listed under: 2 other names
Description: Spermophilus parryii (Arctic ground squirrel) tRNA
Rfam family: tRNA
About the family: Transfer RNA (tRNA) molecules are approximately 80 nucleotides in length. Their secondary structure includes four short double-helical elements and three loops (D, anti-codon, and T loops).
Source: Rfam by way of RNAcentral